This 497-nucleotide ribosomal RNA is filed under the name uncultured bacterium. RNAcentral's name for it is "partial 16S ribosomal RNA". It matches the Rfam family "Bacterial small subunit ribosomal RNA", at positions 28 to 507 of the family's 1533-position model. The record is from RNAcentral.
GAUGAACGCUGGCGGCGUGCCUAAUACAUGCAAGUCGAGCGAACAGACGAGGAGCUUGCUCCUCUGACGUUAGCGGCGGACGGGUGAGUAACACGUGGAUAACCUACCUAUAAGACUGGGAUAACUUCGGGAAACCGGAGCUAAUACCGGAUGAUAUUUUGAACCGCAUGGUUCAAUAGUGAAAGACGGUUUUGCUGUCACUUAUAGAUGGAUCCGCGCCGCAUUAGCUAGUUGGUAAGGUAACGGCUUACCAAGGCAACGAUGCAUAGCCGACCUGAGAGGGUGAUCGGCCACACUGGAACUGAGACACGGUCCAGACUCCUACGGGAGGCAGCAGUAGGGAAUCUUCCGCAAUGGGCGAAAGCCUGACGGAGCAACGCCGCGUGAGUGAUGAAGGUCUUCGGAUCGUAAAACUCUGUUAUUAGGGAAGAACAAAUGUGUAAGUAACUAUGCACAUCUUGACGGUACCUAAUCAGAAAGCCACGGCUAACUACGUG